CGCCACUGCACCGGCCCGCGGCGGAGCAACGGGGUCUUGGAGGAGCUGGCCUGCCCUGCCCCCCGGUCGCAACAAGUUCUCCAGGUAGCUGCCUACAUCUCGCGGGUUGGAGCUGCGUAGACGUCCAUCUGCCCCCAACCGCCAGGAUCGGAGCUGCAGAGGCAAACUCCAUUCGAUCGCACGCCCUCCCUGCUCCGCUGACAGCCCAGCCCCUCCCCAAGCCGCAUCCAUGAGGUCCUGGUAGAGACUCCAGCGGACGAUUGGGUGAAUGCAUGCGUUCCAAACAGCAGCCCGGAACCGCGUUUCUCCUUUCUUCCUUUGCCCGCUUGACCGACUUUGGCUACACUCAAGGCCCCGAGGUGCCUGCGCCGCGCUUGGCUUCGCUUCCCGCCUCUCUCAGGAGGCCCGGGACUGUGGUUUCCGCUCGCCACAUCUCCUCCUGGCGCGCACGCAAGAGCUUGGCGGGCUUCCCGCCCGCGCCUGGAGCCGACUGCUUCAGGCCUCAGUUUCCCCCUUCCUUUCGGAUCAGAGACGCGACACACGAAACGGUUCUGGGAGGACGAAUGGCGAAUGGAUUGCUUGGUGACGGCCCCGAAGUACCUCUGUGUGAAGUGGGGUCCAGAUUGGAGCAUGGCCGCCUGUCUCCCAGAUCCGUAACUUCCCCUGUUCAUCCCUCUCCGCCGACUUCUCCCCACCUCCACGCGUACCAUCCGGAGAUGAAACACUGGCGCUGUCUCGCUUCCCACACUGGGAACGGAGCCCACCACCCUCCAUGAUCUCAGUCUCUCCUCAGCGCGACCCACAGCCUGCUGGGGCUCCUUUGGCAGCGUGGGUGUGCCCAGCUGUGGGUAGGUGAAGACAAGCCAGGUUCUAGUCAGCAGGUGCACGCUUGGGUGUGGGCAGGGCUGGUUCCUCGGGGGGGCUGUCUGCUCCCUUGUGAUUGCUGCUGGCCUGGGUACAUUUGAAGACUCGCAGGUGGUGCCUUCCAGCAAACUGUUGGCAUGCCCGCCACUGAGCUUUAGGAGAAGGCCUGUUAGAGCCUGGGAACGGCACAUGAGUCCACGAACCCUUCCCGGCCUCAGCUCCCUCCUCUGAAAAAUGGGCAAAACAGGUCCUGCCACGGAGGACAAUGGCAAAGAGUCAAUGAGAUCAACCCUGGCACACAGUAGUGCUCAUGAAGCAGUAGCCGUUUGGGCCCCUAACUUCUCUGCACUUACUCUCUCUCUCCAUAGAUAUAUGUGCAUAUACGUAUAUAUUU
RNAcentral lists this long non-coding RNA (1258 nucleotides) under Equus asinus (donkey). Its description in RNAcentral is "lncRNA (ENSEASG00005024913.1)". Lineage: Eukaryota; Metazoa; Chordata; Mammalia; Perissodactyla; Equidae. The record is from RNAcentral.